GAUGAACGCGGGCGGUGUGCCUAAUACAUGCAAGUCGAGCGAAGAGAUAAUGAGCUUGCUCCUUGGACGUUAGCGGCGGACGGGUGAUUAACACGUGGGUAACCUACGUAUAAGACUGGGAUAUCUUCGGGAAACGGGCGCUACUUCUUGAUAACAUUAUGAACCGCAUGGCUCUACAGAGAGAGGCGGCUAUGCUGUCACUUAGAGCUGGAGCCGCGGCGGAUUAGCUAGUUGGUGAGGUAACGGCUCACCAAGGCAACGAUACGUAGCCGACCUGAGAGGGUGAUCGGCCACACUGGAACUGAGACACGCUCGAGACUACUACGGGAGGCAACAGUAGGGAAUUUUCCGCGAGGGGCGGAAGCCUGACGGAGCAACGCGGCGUGAGUGAUGACGGUCUUCGGAUCGUAAAACUCUGUUAUUAGGGAAGAACAAAUGGGUAAGUAACUGUGCGCGGCUUGACGGUACCUAAUCAGAAAGCCACGGCUAACUACGUG
Molecule: ribosomal RNA, 497 nt
Filed under: uncultured bacterium
Lineage: Bacteria
Description: partial 16S ribosomal RNA
Rfam family: Bacterial small subunit ribosomal RNA
Source: RNAcentral